ACAAAAACAUCUCCUUUUGACAUAUUUAAGGUACCGUCUGCUCAAUGCAAUUUGUAAAUAGCCGCAGUAUUCUGACUGUGCUAAGGUAGCAUAAUCAUUAGUCUUUUAAUUGGAGGCUGGUAUGAAUGACGAGACGAGAAAAUGACUGUCUCUAUAAUAAACUUUGAAUUUCAUUUCUGAGUGAAAAAGCUCAGAUAAUUUUGAAGGACGAUCAGACCCUUUGGAGCUUUAUUUACUUUAAAAAUUUGAAUUUGUUUUAAUUGAUUGAAUGGAAAGUAAAUUUUGUUGGGGCGACAGGGAGUAAAAUAUAACACUCUUUUUUUAAAACAAUCCUAAUUGGAAAAUUGAUCCUUAGAGUGAGAUUACAAGACUAAGUUACCCUAGGGAUAACAGCGUAAUCUUUUUGGAGAGUUCAAAUCGAUAAAAAGGUUUGCGACCUCGAUGUUGGAUUAAGAGAUUGGCAAGGUGCAGAAGAGACGCUGAAACU
This 487-nucleotide ribosomal RNA is filed under the name Daphnia magna. RNAcentral describes it as "partial 16S ribosomal RNA". It matches the Rfam family "Bacterial large subunit ribosomal RNA", at positions 1807 to 2594 of the family's 2925-position model. The record is from RNAcentral. Lineage: Eukaryota; Metazoa; Arthropoda; Branchiopoda; Diplostraca; Daphniidae.